RNAcentral lists this ribosomal RNA (335 nucleotides) under Paenibacillus polymyxa. Its description in RNAcentral is "bacterial SSU rRNA". It matches the Rfam family "Bacterial small subunit ribosomal RNA", at positions 1 to 319 of the family's 1533-position model. The record is from RNAcentral. Lineage: Bacteria; Bacillati; Bacillota; Bacilli; Caryophanales; Paenibacillaceae.
UCUUUAAUGGAGAGUUUGAUCCUGGCUCAGGACGAACGCUGGCGGCGUGCCUAAUACAUGCAAGUCGAGCGGGGUUGAUUAGAAGCUUGCUUCUAAUCAACCUAGCGGCGGACGGGUGAGUAACACGUAGGCAACCUGCCCACAAGACAGGGAUAACUACCGGAAACGGUAGCUAAUACCCGAUACAUCCUUUUCCUGCAUGGGAGAGGGAGGAAAGACGGAGCAAUCUGUCACUUGUGGAUGGGCCUGCGGCGCAUUAGCUAGUUGGUGGGGUAAAGGCCUACCAAGGCGACGAUGCGUAGCCGACCUGAGAGGGUGAUCGGCCACACUGGGAC